CUCUCUUUUUGUCUCUGUCUCUGUCUCCAUCUUUCUCUUUGCCUCUCUUUUCUUUCUUUCCUUCCUUCCUUCCUUCCUUCCUUCCUUCCUUCCUUCCUUCCUUCCUUCCUUCCUUCCUUCCUUCCUUCCUUCCUUCCUUCCUUCCUUCCUUCCUUCCUUCCCUCUCUCCUUUCCUUUCCUUUUCUCCACUACUCCCUCCUUUUUCCCCUUUGACACAUUAAAAAGUAGAGUAUACAUAGAAACUUCUAC
Molecule: long non-coding RNA, 249 nt
Filed under: Monodelphis domestica (gray short-tailed opossum)
Lineage: Eukaryota; Metazoa; Chordata; Mammalia; Didelphimorphia; Didelphidae
Description: lncRNA (ENSMODG00000049376.1)
Source: RNAcentral